UAAGUUGGGAGCUAUGAGGUAUGUAUGUAUGUAUGUAUGUAUGUAUAUUUCUUCUUGGAUUUUACUUUUACAUACAUAUUGACCCCCUUAAGGAAUUUUUUAAAAUUCAAAGUGCCUGUUCAUCAGCUUAUGGAUAGAUAAACAGAACUGACUAGCUUUGUCAGAUGCCAGUGUAGCUGACUAUGGGCCAUAUGCAAUUGCGGUCAAAUUCAUGAAAAUGUUGAAAAACGGGGCAUUUUAGACAACAAAAACCUGUCGAAUUGGAUUCGACAAUGCAAUACAGUACUUUUCGUCAAAAUACCUGCCGUUUUAGAUUCGACUUUUUGCAAUUCGACAUUUUCAAAAUUCGACAUUUCUGCAAUGGUCAAAAUGCAGCAUUUCGACAAAAGUAUAUUCAAUUGAAGAAUGUCGAUUCGACAACAGUGUUUUACGACAGUAAUUUCGUCAAUUUCAUUCCGCCUCACUUUGCUGGUUAAAAAUUUUUAAAACAUGUUUUUUUUUUUUUGCUUUUUGGAUUGCUAAUAGCAUAUCUAUUUAUAUUUGAAGGGAUUAUCUACUUGGUUUGUAUUUUUUUGACUCUCAAGUAUUAUUUAAUUGAUUUUUAAAAAGAAUAUUUUUUUUCUUCACUCUGCUGAGGGAAAUGUACCCAUGAUUUCACAGUUUUACCCAGGAUACACUUCUGCAAAGCCACUCCAGUAUUGGACCAGCUUACCCCACUCUACCAUGGACGUCCUACUUGUGAUGUGGACCUGAACCACCACCAUGUUAGUCACUCUUUCAGGUCUUGCGGAGUAUCCUUCCCAAGUUGCAGGAACCAGCGUGGAUGUCAAGGGACACGACCGUUCCCCUGCUGUACCAUGGGCGACCUAGUUGUGAUGUGGACCUGAAACUCCGCCAUGUAGCAGACACCCCCCCUCAGGUCUUGCGGAGUAUCCUUCCCGAUUUGCAGGAACCAGCCUGGAUGUGAAGGGACAGGACAGUUCCCCUGCUGUACCAUGGGCGACCUACUUGUGAUGUGGACCUGAACCUCCGCCAUGUAGCAGACCCCCCACC
This is a long non-coding RNA of Pseudophryne corroboree (corroboree frog), 1053 nucleotides long. RefSeq lists it as uncharacterized. NCBI's taxonomy places the organism in Eukaryota, Metazoa, Chordata, Amphibia, Anura, Myobatrachidae. The transcript is spliced from 3 exons. The record is from RefSeq and is a predicted model, not a curated record.